This 1352-nucleotide long non-coding RNA is filed under the name Citrus maxima (pomelo). RNAcentral's name for it is "long non-coding RNA (CMAX_LNC000235)". The record is from RNAcentral. Lineage: Eukaryota; Viridiplantae; Streptophyta; Magnoliopsida; Sapindales; Rutaceae.
CCCACCCCUAACCCGAUCUGCCUCUUUUACUCACCCACUAGCAGGCUGUCACUCACCCACAAAACUUGUCACGCCACGGCCAUUGUUGACCAGCCAUCAUCGCUGUCACGCCACGCCCAUUGCCGACCAGCCCAUCACUGAUCACAUCGCCGUUGACGGUGUGCUUGACGAUUUUGGACCUUUUUCACCUACGUAGGUAAUUAAAUUUAGCAUGUUGAGGAAAGUUUUGAUUUAUUGUAUUUAUAUUUUAAAAUUAUUAGAAAUAAGUUAUUGGAAAUGUAGAUUUUGUUUGAAUUAUAUAUGAUUAAUACAAUUUAUUUUUCAUGGUAUAAAAAUGAAGGAUUUGGAAAAAAAACUACAAAGUCGAAGAUUUUGAAGAAUUAGAUUAACAACAAUUUAAAUGGAAAUAAUGAAAAAACUGAUAAUGAUGUGGAUGUGAAACCAAAAAAGUAUGAGCCAAAGUUUGGGAUGUUGUUUGAUAAACACCAUUAUCUUCUUAUGAGCCAAAAAAGGAAGAAUUAGAUGACAACAAUUAAGGUAAGAUUAAACUACUUACUUAAUUAUUCUACAAUUAAUUUAAUUUUAAUUUUAAUGUAUCUUUUUAUGGAUUUGCAGGAUUCAAAUGUACAAACACCAUUAUCUUCUGAGGUGGAUAUUGUAGUCCCAACGCAUGAGAGCAAUAAGGAUCCUGUAAGUUUUAUGUUCUUUGAUGUAAUACUAUUUAAUUAUUUUAAUUUUUAAUGGUCACUAAAUAAUGGUCAUUAUUUAAGAACCUGUGAUCGCAUACCAAUUACAAGGAUGUGAUAUUUAUCCAUGGUUUCCUUUUGAUUCUUACAUUGUAAGUUAUAAUCCAAUUUCUAUAUUUAUGCCUAGUUAAUUUUGCAUUUUCUGGAAUGUAAUAUGGUUCUUAUUUUGUACAAACUAGCAAUCCCCAUCACUCCCAUCUAUGUUGCCUUAUUCUUCAUCUUGGAUAUCGUAUAAAGGUUCUCAACAAAGGAGUUUUCAGUAAUCGCUACUUCAACAGAAUGAUAAUAACAAAGAAGUUUGAAGCAGACUUAACAGAUUGAUCAUUGACUUAUUCUUUUGUUGUGUUUUGUGUAUUAGUUGGUUGGAUGAUAUUACUCUAGUGCUCAAUGAUUGAACGUGGAAAUAUUUUGAAGGGUUUUUAUCCAUAUAUUCAAAGGGUUAAGUGUGUCAAUAACCAUUACAACAAUAAGAGUAGUUCAUAUAGAAAUGUCAAAUUAACCACACACAAAAGAAAAAGGUACAAAUAACUUAUUUCUAGUAAUUUUAAAAUAUAAAUACAAAAAAAAACCAAAUACUUUUCUAAUCAAAGUAUCACAUACAAGGUU